RNAcentral lists this ribosomal RNA (490 nucleotides) under uncultured bacterium. RNAcentral describes it as "partial 16S ribosomal RNA". It matches the Rfam family "Bacterial small subunit ribosomal RNA", at positions 28 to 507 of the family's 1533-position model. The record is from RNAcentral.
GAUGAACGCUAGCUACAGGCUUAACACAUGCAAGUCGAGGGGCAGCAUGGUCUUAGCUUGCUAAGGCCGAUGGCGACCGGCGCACGGGUGAGUAACACGUAUCCAACCUGCCGUCUACUCUUGGACAGCCUUCUGAAAGGAAGAUUAAUACAAGAUGGCAUCAUGAGUCCGCAUGUUCACAUGAUUAAAGGUAUUCCGGUAGACGAUGGGGAUGCGUUCCAUUAGAUAGUAGGCGGGGUAACGGCCCACCUAGUCUUCGAUGGAUAGGGGUUCUGAGAGGAAGGUCCCCCACAUUGGAACUGAGACACGGUCCAAACUCCUACGGGAGGCAGCAGUGAGGAAUAUUGGUCAGUGGGCGCAGGCCUGAACCAGCCAAGUAGCGUGAAGGAUGACUGCCCUAUGGGUUGUAAACUUCUUUUAUAAAGGAAUAAAGUCGGGUAUGUAUACCCGUUUGCAUGUACUUUAUGAAUAAGGAUCGGCUAACUCCGUG